This 445-nucleotide ribosomal RNA is filed under the name uncultured bacterium. RNAcentral describes it as "bacterial SSU rRNA". It matches the Rfam family "Bacterial small subunit ribosomal RNA", at positions 331 to 793 of the family's 1533-position model. The record is from RNAcentral.
CCAGACUCCUACGGGAGGCAGCAGUGGGGAAUAUUGCACAAUGGGGGAAACCCUGAUGCAGCGACGCCGCGUGAGUGAGGAAGUAUUUCGGUAUGUAAAGCUCUAUCAGCAGGGAAGAAAAUGACGGUACCUGACUAAGAAGCCCCGGCUAACUACGUGCCAGCAGCCGCGGUAAUACGUAGGGGGCAAGCGUUAUCCGGAUUUACUGGGUGUAAAGGGAGCGUAGACGGCUAAUCAAGUCAGAAGUGAAAACCCAGGGCUCAACCCCGGGAGUGCAUUUGAAACUGUCCAGCUGGAGUGCAGGAGAGGUAAGCGGAAUUCCUAGUGUAGCGGUGAAAUGCAUAGAUAUUAGGAGGAACACCAGUGGCGAAGGCGGCUUACUGGACAGUAACUGACGUUGAGGCUCGAAAGCGUGGGGAGCAAACAGGAUUAGAUACCCUUGUAU